Molecule: ribosomal RNA, 446 nt
Filed under: uncultured bacterium
Lineage: Bacteria
Description: partial 16S ribosomal RNA
Rfam family: Bacterial small subunit ribosomal RNA
Source: RNAcentral
CCUACGGGGAGCUGCAGUAGGGAAUUUUCGGCAAUGGCGGGAACCCUGACCGAGCAACGCCGCGUGAACGAAGAAGUUAUUCGUAAUGUAAAGUUCUUUUAACAGGGAAGAAAGAGAAAUUUGACGGUACCUGAAGAAUAAACUCCGGCUAACUACGUGCCAGCAGCCGCGGUAAUACGUAGGGAGCGAGCGUUAUCCGGAAUUAUUGGGCGAAAAGGGUGCGUAGAUGGCAUAGUAAGUCUUUGGUAAAAAUGCUGGGCUCAACCCAGUAGGGCAAAAGAUACUGCAAAUCUAGAGUAUGACAGAGGCAAGUGGAACUACAUGUGUAGCGGUAAAAUGCAUAAAUAUAUGGAAGAACACCAGUGGCGAAGGCGGCUUGCUGGGUCGAUACUGACAUUGAGGCACGAAAGCGUGGGGAGCAAACAGGAUUAGAUACCCCGGUAGUC